This 357-nucleotide unclassified non-coding RNA is filed under the name Hevea brasiliensis (rubber tree). The record is from RNAcentral. Lineage: Eukaryota; Viridiplantae; Streptophyta; Magnoliopsida; Malpighiales; Euphorbiaceae.
UCUAGGUGAAUAUAGGACUUCACUAUGUAGCAGGCUUACUUCUAUGGACUUUGUGUUUGUGGCUCUUCUGAAUGCUACUCUUUAUUUAUGAUUAUAUAAGACUACACUAGAAUGAAAAUAUGGUGAUGAGGUCUUUGAAGGUCCUUAAUUUAGAGUCACUAUAAAUGAGAUAUCAAGGAGCUUAGAGAUGUGUGUGUCUAGCAUAUUCUUGAGUUCUUUGUCAGAUGUGUGUGUCUAGCAUAUUCUUGAGUUCUUUGUCGCGCCCAAAGACAUUUGUCUUAUAGCAAAAUUUUCUUUACGCUGUUAUCUCUUUCUUUUUCAUGAAUCUACGUCGCAAUAUUACUCCUCACCGAGAUG